Non-coding RNA from Trichonephila inaurata madagascariensis, 85 nucleotides. The record is from the annotation of a GenBank genome assembly. Lineage: Eukaryota; Metazoa; Arthropoda; Arachnida; Araneae; Nephilidae.
ACGGCCAUACCAAGAUGAAAACACCGGUUCUCGUCCGAUCACCCAAGUUAAGCAUCAUUAGUACUUGGGAGAAUGACCACCUGUG